RNAcentral lists this unclassified non-coding RNA (391 nucleotides) under soil metagenome. RNAcentral describes it as "partial contains 5.8S ribosomal RNA, internal transcribed spacer 2, and large subunit ribosomal RNA". The stretch from base 1 to 122 matches the Rfam family "5.8S ribosomal RNA", at positions 35 to 154 of the family's 154-position model. The record is from RNAcentral.
GAUGAAGAACGUAGCAAAAUGCGAUACUUGGUGUGAAUUGCAGAAUCCCGUGAACCAUCGAGUCUUUGAACGCAAGUUGCGCCCGAAGCCACUAGGCCGAGGGCACGCCUGCCUGGGCGUCACACGUCGUUGCCCCCCCAUCUACUCCUUCGGGAUUGCGGGGGGGCGGAUGAUGGCCUCCCGUGCGCCUAGCCGCGCGGUUGGCAUAAAUACCAAGUCCUCGGCGACGCACGCCACGACAAUCGGUGGUUGCGAAACCUCGGUUGCCCGUCGUGUGCGUUCGUCGCGCAUCGAGGGCUCGAAAAAAUGCUCGGCUCCGGCUGGGCUUUCAACGCGACCCCAGGUCAGGCGGGGUUACCCGCUGAAUUUAAGCAUAUCAAUAAGCGGAGGA